Molecule: unclassified non-coding RNA, 336 nt
Filed under: soil metagenome
Description: partial contains 5.8S ribosomal RNA, internal transcribed spacer 2, and large subunit ribosomal RNA
Rfam family: 5.8S ribosomal RNA (bases 1-120)
Source: RNAcentral
GACGAAGAACGCAGCGAAAUGCGAUAAGUAAUGUGAAUUGCAGAAUUCAGUGAAUCAUCGAAUCUUUGAACGCACAUUGCGCCCGCCAGUAUUCUGGCGGGCAUGCCUGUUCGAGCGUCAUUUCAACCAUCAAGCUCCCGGGCUUGCGUUGGGGCCCUGCGGCUGCCGCAGGCCCCUAAAACCAGUGGCGGGCUCGCUGUCACACCGAGCGCAGUAGCAUUUCUUCGCUCUGGGCGCGGCGGCGGGCGCUUACCGUAAAACAUACCACUUUUUAAAGGUUGACCUCGGAUCAGGUAGGAAUACCCGCUGAACUUAAGCAUAUCAAUAAGCGGAGGA